GACACCUUAGCCAAGUGGUUACGGCGAUUGACUAGAAAUCAAUUCCCUUCGGGGGCGCAGGUUCGAAUCCUGCAGGUGUCG
This is a transfer RNA of 81 nucleotides. It matches the Rfam family "tRNA". From Rfam's summary of the family: Transfer RNA (tRNA) molecules are approximately 80 nucleotides in length. Their secondary structure includes four short double-helical elements and three loops (D, anti-codon, and T loops). The record is from Rfam.